Molecule: ribosomal RNA, 512 nt
Filed under: uncultured bacterium
Lineage: Bacteria
Description: bacterial SSU rRNA
Rfam family: Bacterial small subunit ribosomal RNA
Source: RNAcentral
UAGUCCACGCCGUAAACGAUGGAUACUAGGUGUCCGGGAUAUUAACCUCCUGGGUACUACAGUUAACGCGUUAAGUAUCCCGCCUGGGGAGUACGGUCGCAAGGCUAAAACUCAAAGGAAUUGACGGGGGCCCGCACAAGCGGUGGAGUAUGUGGUUUAAUUCGAAGCAACGCGCAGAACCUUACCUACCCUUAACAUUUCACGACGUAUACAGAGAUGUAUAUUUCUCUUCGGAGACGUGAGGAUAGGUGCUGCAUGGCUGUCGUCAGCUCGUGUCGUAAGAUGUCUGGUUAAGUCCAAUAACGAGCGCAACCCUUAUUCUUAGUUGCCAGCAUGUAAUGAUGGGGACUCUAGGAAGACUGCCGGCGUAAGCCGUGAGGAAGGUGGGGACGACGUCAAAUCAUCAUGGCCUUUAUGCCUAGGGCUACACGCGUGCUACAAUGGUGCAUACAGCGGGUAGCGAAAUCGCGAGGUGGAGCUAAUCUUGUAAAGUGCAUCCCAGUUCGGAUUGG